This is an RNA transcript of Cornus florida, 3457 nucleotides long. It is a transcript of the gene named L-arabinokinase, with no coding region annotated. The record is from RefSeq and is a predicted model, not a curated record. Lineage: Eukaryota; Viridiplantae; Streptophyta; Magnoliopsida; Cornales; Cornaceae. The transcript has 31 exons.
ACACGCUCAACUGACAUCAGCGGUGAGUCGGAACAAACCUUUCGUUUUCCCCCCUCCAACCCUCUCUCUCUCUCUCUCUCUCUCUCUCUUGCCAUAACAAAUUUUUUAGAGAGAGAAAGUAAACCAGAGGUUAGAGAGAGAGAGAAGAGAAUGAGGAUCGAAGACCAGGGUGAUCAAGUCUCUGAAUCAAGAAACCAUCUCGUUUUUGCUUACUAUGUCACUGGUCAUGGCUUCGGCCAUGCCACUCGUGUUGUUGAGGUUGUUCGGCACCUCAUUGUUGCUGGGCAUGAUGUUCAUGUGGUCACUGGUGCACCUGACUUCGUCUUUACAACUGAAAUACAGUCUCCUCGGCUUUUCCUCCGCAAGGUACUACUAGACUGUGGAGCGGUUCAAGCAGAUGCUUUGACAGUGGAUCGCCUUGCGUCUUUGGAGAAGUAUUCAGAGACAGCUGUAGCACCCCGGGCUUCUAUUUUGGCAAUGGAAGUAGAGUGGCUGAACUCCAUCAAGGCUGAUUUAGUGGUUUCAGAUGUUGUUCCAGUUGCAUGCAGGGCAGCAGCUGAUGCAGGAAUUCGUUCUGUUUGUGUCACCAACUUCAGUUGGGACUUCAUCUAUGCAGAGUAUGUGAUGGCAGCCGGUAUUCAUCACAGGUCAAUAGUUUGGCAGAUAGCAGAGGAUUAUUCUCACUGUGAGUUCCUAAUCCGUCUCCCAGGAUACUGCCCAAUGCCUGCUUUUCGAGAUGUGAUUGAUGUACCUUUAGUUGUAAGGAGGUUGCACAAAUCUCGCAAGGAGGUGAGGAAGAAUCUCAAGAUUGGGGAUGAUGUGAAGGUUGUUAUACUAAAUUUUGGGGGACAGCCGUCAGGUUGGAAGUUAAAGGAAGAGUACUUACCUUCUGGUUGGCUCUGCUUGGUUUGUGGUGCAUCUACAAACCAGGAGCUUCCUCCAAAUUUCUUAAGGCUUGCAAAAGAUGUUUAUACUCCUGAUGUUAUGGCAGCAUCUGACUGUAUGCUUGGAAAAAUUGGAUAUGGCACUGUCAGUGAAGCCUUGGCAUACAAGUUACCUUUUGUUUUUGUACGCAGAGAUUACUUCAAUGAAGAACCAUUUUUGAGAAAUAUGCUUGAGUACUAUCAAGGUGGCGUUGAGAUGAUUAGGAGGGAUUUACUCACUGGGCACUGGAAGCCUUAUCUUGAACGUGCAGUUAGUUUGAAACCAUGCUAUGAGGGAGGCAUUAACGGUGGUGAGGUUGCAGCCCGCAUUUUGCAAGAUACAGCUAUUGGAAAGAACUAUGCUUCAGAUAAGCUUAGUGGGGCUAGAAGAUUGCGUGAUGCCAUAGUUCUUGGAUAUCAACUACAAAGAGUUCCCGGAAGAGAUCUCUGCAUCCCAGAUUGGUAUGCAAAUGCUGAAAAUGAAUUUGGGCUUCGCACUGGGUCACCAACUUCUGAAAUGACUGAGAAUAGCUUCCUUAUGCAUUCAUACACUAAGGACUUUGAAAUUCUCGAUGGAGAUCUACAGGGUCUUUCGGAUACAAUGAGUUUCCUGAAGAGCUUGGCAGAACUAGAUACUUUAUAUGAUUCUGGAAAAAGUACUGAGAAGCGCCGGAUGCGGGAAUGCAUUGCUGCUGCGGGUAUCUUCAAUUGGGAGGAAGAAAUCUUUGUUUCAAGAGCUCCUGGAAGAUUGGAUGUAAUGGGAGGAAUAGCUGACUAUUCUGGAAGCCUAGUCUUGCAGAUGCCUAUUAGAGAAGCCUGCCAUGUUGCUGUGCAAAAGAAUCAUCCCAGUAAACAAAGGCUUUGGAAACAUGCCCAGGCUCGACAGCAUGUCAAAGGGCAAGGACCAACACCCGUUCUACAAAUUGUAUCAUAUGGCUCAGAAUUGAGCAACCGUGGUCCGACGUUUGACAUGGAUUUAUCUGAUUUUAUGGAUGGAGAGCAGCCCAUGACAUAUGAAAAGGCAAAACAGUACUUUGCCCAAGAUCCAUCCCAGAGAUGGGCAGCGUAUGUGGCGGGGACAAUUCUGGUUUUAAUGACAGAACUAGGCGUACGCUUUGAGAACAGUAUCAGCAUGCUGGUUUCUUCUGCUGUUCCAGAAGGCAAAGGUGUAUCUUCUUCUGCUUCCGUGGAGGUUGCUAGCAUGUCUGCUAUAGCUGCGGCUCAUGGAUUGGAUAUAAGCCCGAGGGAGCUUGCUUUGCUCUGCCAAAAGGUAGAGAAUCACAUUGUUGGAGCUCCAUGUGGUGUAAUGGACCAGAUGACUUCAGCAUGUGGUGAAGCCAACAAACUUCUUGCAAUGAUUUGCCAGCCUGCUGAGAUAGUAGGGCUUGUGGAUAUUCCUACUCAUAUACGAGUUUGGGGAAUUGAUUCUGGAAUACGACACAGUGUUGGUGGUGCAGACUACGGAUCUGUGAGAGUGGGUGCCUUUAUGGGUCGAAAGAUGAUAAAGUCUAUUGCAUCUACGAUGUUGUCACGAUUAUUGUCAGGUGAAAAUGGGAUGAACCCGGGCGAAAUGGAUGAGGAUGGUGCUGAACUACUUGAAAAGGAAUCUUCAUUGGAUUACUUGUGCAACCUGUCACCUCACAGAUAUGAAGCUCUUUAUGGUAAGUUUCUUCCUGAUUCUAUACAUGGUGAGACAUUUUUGGAAAAACAUGAGGAUCAUAAUGAUCCAGUCACUGUCAUUGAUCACAAGCGUGGUUAUGGAGUGAAGGCAGCUGCUAGACAUCCCAUUUAUGAAAAUUUCAGGGUCAAGGCCUUCAAAGCGCUACUAACAUCUGCAUCAUCAGAUGAACAACUUAGCACUCUUGGAGAAUUAUUGUAUCAGUGCCACUACAGUUAUAGUGCUUGUGGACUUGGCUCGGAUGGGACAGACAGGCUUGUCCAUUUGGUGCAGGAAAUGCAACACAGUAGAUUGUCUAAAGCUGAAGAUGGAACUCUAUAUGGAGCAAAGAUUACCGGUGGUGGUUCUGGUGGAACAGUUUGUGUCAUUGGCAGGAAUUGUCUACGGAGCAGCCAACAAAUUUUCGAGAUUCAGCAAAGAUACAAAGGUGCCACAGGAUAUCAUCCGUUUCUUUUCGAGGGUUCAUCACCAGGUGCGGGAAAGUUCGGGUAUCUGAGAAUUCGUCGCCGCAUCCCUGCCGAACGACGUUAGUUUAUUCGUGCAAGACAUGUGGCUAAGUUGUUCUUCAGGGAAAUUGUCGGUUCUUUUCCAAUUCCAAAUGCAAGAUGUUGAGGCAGGAAAGCAAAAAAGCUCCGUAUUAGUACUAGACCAAAUGUAGUAGGAUUUAUUUGCAUAUUGCAAUGUAAUAAAUGUUCUUGUACAGUAACUUUUGUGGUUCUUUUUUUUAAUUCUUUUGUAUUGCUAAGAAAAUCAUUUCGACACCAUAAGAUUAAAUUUAUAUUACAUUGCACCACAAUGAUAUGUACAAGAAGAUACAGAAAGAAUGAAGGAUGGUGCAGGUGGUAUUUUGCUGAUA